GCCCUGUUCGUCUAGCGGCCCAGGACGCGGCCCUCUCAAGGCCGAAACACGAGUUCGAGUCUCGUACGGGGCA
Molecule: transfer RNA, 73 nt
Filed under: Chloroflexota bacterium
Lineage: Bacteria; Bacillati; Chloroflexota
Also listed under: 1 other name
Description: Chloroflexi bacterium tRNA-Glu
Rfam family: tRNA
About the family: Transfer RNA (tRNA) molecules are approximately 80 nucleotides in length.
Source: RNAcentral